Molecule: ribosomal RNA, 484 nt
Filed under: uncultured bacterium
Lineage: Bacteria
Description: partial 16S ribosomal RNA
Rfam family: Bacterial small subunit ribosomal RNA
Source: RNAcentral
AUUGAACGCUGGCGGCAUGCUUUACACAUGCAAGUCGAACGGCAGCGCGGGCUUCGCCCUGGCGGCGAGUGGCGAACGGGUGAGUAAUACCUCGGAACGUGCCCAGUAGUGGGGGAUAGCGUGGCGAAAGCCGGAUUAAUACCGCAUACGACCUGAGGGUGAAAGUGGGGGAUCUUCGGACCUCGCGCUAUCGGAGCGGCCUAUGGCGGAUUAGCUAGUUGGUGGGGUAAAGGCCUACCAAGGCGACGAUCUGUAGCUGGUCUGAGAGGACGACCAGCCACACUGGGACUGAGACACGGCCCAGACUCCUACGGGAGGCAGCAGUGGGGAAUUUUGGACAAUGGGCGAAAGCCUGAUCCAGCAAUGCCGCGUGUGUGAUGAAGGCCUUCGGAUUGUAAAGCACUUUUGGUGGGGACGAAAAGGACUGUGCCAAUACCACGGUUCGAUGACGGUACCAGCAGAAUAAGCACCGGCUAACUACGUG